Molecule: ribosomal RNA, 253 nt
Filed under: uncultured bacterium
Lineage: Bacteria
Description: partial 16S ribosomal RNA
Rfam family: Bacterial small subunit ribosomal RNA
Source: RNAcentral
UACGUAGGGGGCAAGCGUUGUCCGGAAUCAUUGGGCGUAAAGCGCGUGUAGGCGGCUUGGUAAGUCUGCUCUGAAAGCCCGGGGCUCAACCCCGGGAGGCGGGUGGAUACUGUCAAGCUCGAGUCCGGAAGAGGAGUGUGGAAUUCCUGGUGUAGCGGUGAAAUGCGUAGAUAUCAGGAGGAACACCGGUGGCGAAGGCGCCUAUCUGGCCCGAUACUGACGCUGAGGCGCGAAAGCUAGGGGAGCAAACGGG